RNAcentral lists this long non-coding RNA (1116 nucleotides) under Equus asinus (donkey). RNAcentral describes it as "lncRNA (ENSEASG00005027181.1)". The record is from RNAcentral. Lineage: Eukaryota; Metazoa; Chordata; Mammalia; Perissodactyla; Equidae.
CAUUGUUUGAGGAAAUGAAAAGACAAGGCACCGUCUGAUAGAAAAAUACGUGCAAAGGACACGUCCAGUGAAGGAGCUUUAUCAAGACUUUAUAAAACAAGGCUCAAAACUCAACAGAAAGAAGACAAGCAACUCAAUAAAAAUGACCAGCAAUGGCCGGCCCAAUGGCGGUUAAGUUCACACAUUCCUCUUCGACGGCCUCAGCCUGGGGUUCACAGGUUCGGAUCCUGGGUGUGGACGUGGCACCGCUUGUGAAGCCAUGCUGUGGCAGGCGUCCCACAUAUAAAGUGGAGGAAGGUGGACACAAAUGUUAGCUCAGGGCCAGUCUUCCUCAGCAAGAAAAAAAAAAAAGACCAGCAAAAGAUUGCAACACACUCCUCACGAAAGCAUACAUAUGGAUCCAAAGAUGCCCAGCAUCGGAGAAACGGGAUUAAAACCACAGCAAACACCACUUCCCGACUAUCACAACGGCUAAAACCAACAAGGCUGACGAGCACAGGAGCGUGUGAGGCCACUGGACUCUCCCACCGCAGACGGGAGCGUGAAACAGUGUGACCAGGGUGGACGACAGCUUGGGGGUCUCGCAAAAAGCUAAACGCACACGUUCCAGACUCCAGCCACUCGCUGCCGGUCCCGACCCAGGAGAAACGAAGGCCCAUUUCCGGGCAAAGGCUUGUGCACGGAAGUCCCUACAGCGGCUCCAUCUGGGCGCCGAGCAGGAAAACCUGGGCCUACACGACGGAGGGAGACACCCGGACGGACGCAGCCUCAGGACACACGUCUCACGGAGGCGGCACUGCUCCCGCCCGAGUCGCCCAGACCCGCCUCCCCUGCGACAUCAGAACUGCUCAGCCAGGAAGCUGCAGCCCCACCGCCCACCGGGCCGUGCACCCCCGAGCCCACUUACAGGGGCCCAACCGUGUUCAAGGCCAAGAUCAGCAAUUCCGCCACAUUCUGGGGGCUUCUCCAGGGCAGCGACACCGACCACACUGAGGCUGCUGUGUAUUUCCACUGUGAGAUGCACGAGGAGGGACCAUGAAGCAGUGAGCUCGCUGCACCGCGGUCACGUCCCCACAGACACACGUAAGGCCGACGAACAGAGGGAGGAAAUCAGUU